Long non-coding RNA from Folsomia candida, 1052 nucleotides. RefSeq lists it as uncharacterized. NCBI's taxonomy places the organism in Eukaryota, Metazoa, Arthropoda, Collembola, Entomobryomorpha, Isotomidae. The transcript is spliced from 2 exons. The record is from RefSeq and is a predicted model, not a curated record.
UGUAUAUUUUGAAAAUUAAUUAAUUUCGAAAUUUGAUUAAACAAAAUAAAAACCUCUCUGGUAUCUUCAGAUAGACAUUGAGUUCUCUGUAUUAUAAUUAUAUACCACCGCCUGGUCUUUGAAUUGCCACCGCUACCCACCCGGCCAGGCUGGCGGGUGGGGGUGGGGUUACAUACAUACUCCCUACAUACAUACUCCCUACAGCCCAUUUGGAAACCAAAACAGAGCUUCUAAAGUAGAAGAAAUUCUUAACAAAUACUGUUCCGUAUAUCCGCAUCCUGCGUUUUGUCCUGCAGGAUAGUGCCCUUACACGAGAAACAACACCAACUUUUUGCCCUGAGCAUUGACUUUACUAGGGAGUGUCCAUGGAUGUAUUACACUCUUAAUAAUUUGGAGACAAAUCGUCACCCCGCCAAGGUAUUAAGUAUGUAUGGUGCUGUAUUUCUUGGUAAUGAUUUGUUACCAAGGGGAACUGAGGCAAAAGUUCGAGUACCAAAUCAGACGCGACGUAGUAAUUUAUAAAAUUCAAUACGUUUAUUUAAACAAAAUCCUGUUUUCGGAUAAAACUGUGCAAUUUUUAAAUAAUGACGUCAAGUCUGUUUGGUACACGAGUAUUUGACUUAUUUCGCGAUGGUGACAAAUCAGUACCAAAAACUAGAGUACCAUACAUACUUAAUACCUUGGCGGGGUAACGAUUUGUCUCCAAAUUAUUUACAGUGUACAUGAUCGAGAUAGACAAAUUUAUUUAGAUUUUUAAAAAUAAGUAGAAAAAAUAAAUAAUUAAUAAACAUUCAUUUUUAAAUUUUGCAUAAACUAUUUAAUAAUUACUUAAUGAAUUUCUGCCAACUUUAAAUUGAAUUCAUUUUGAAAUCUGGUCAAGAAAUUUCCAAUAGCGAAUCAUAUUCCCAUCCCGAUAAUGUAAAUAGCACAAUAAUAAAAAAUGUAUUCACAUACGCAAAUAUGUAAUUAAUUACGUAUGUGCAUACUUCUCAAUAACUGUCCAUCUCAAAGUUUAUAUAAUUCCAAUAAAAUAUUUACACAGUUCUAAUUUA